This 497-nucleotide ribosomal RNA is filed under the name uncultured bacterium. RNAcentral describes it as "partial 16S ribosomal RNA". It matches the Rfam family "Bacterial small subunit ribosomal RNA", at positions 28 to 507 of the family's 1533-position model. The record is from RNAcentral.
GAUGAACGCUGGCGGCGUGCCUAAUACAUGCAAGUCGAGCGAACAGACGAGGAGCUUGCUCCUCUGACGUUAGCGGCGGACGGGUGAGUAACACGUGGAUAACCUACCUAUAAGACUGGGAUAACUUCGGGAAACCGGAGCUAAUACCGGAUAAUAUAUUGAACCGCAUGGUUCAAUAGUGAAAGACGGUUUUGCUGUCACUUAUAGAUGGAUCCGCGCCGCAUUAGCUAGUUGGUAAGGUAACGGCUUACCAAGGCAACGAUGCGUAGCCGACCUGAGAGGGUGAUCGGCCACACUGGAACUGAGACACGGUCCAGACUCCUACGGGAGGCAGCAGUAGGGAAUCUUCCGCAAUGGGCGAAAGCCUGACGGAGCAACGCCGCGUGGGUGAUGAAGGUCUUCGGAUCGUAAAACUCUGUUAUUAGGGAAGAACAAAUGUGUAAGUAACUAUGCACGUCUUGACGGUACCUAAUCAGAAAGCAACGGCUAACUACGUG